RNAcentral lists this ribosomal RNA (256 nucleotides) under uncultured bacterium. RNAcentral's name for it is "partial 16S ribosomal RNA". It matches the Rfam family "Bacterial small subunit ribosomal RNA", at positions 100 to 354 of the family's 1533-position model. The record is from RNAcentral.
CACGGGUGAGUAACACGUAUGCAACCUGCCUGCCACAGCCCGGAUAAUCGGGAGAAAUUCCGUCUAAUACGGCAUAAUGCAUCGACGGGACAUCCUGUUGGUGCCAAAGGUUAAUUCCGGUGGCGGAUGGGCAUGCGUCGCAUUAGUUAGUUGGCGGUGUAACGGCCCACCAAGGCGACGAUGUCUAGGGGUUCUGAGAGGAAGGUCCCCCACACUGGUACUGAGACACGGACCAGACUCCUACGGGAGGCAGCAG